This 2859-nucleotide long non-coding RNA is filed under the name Salmo salar (Atlantic salmon). RNAcentral describes it as "lncRNA (ENSSSAG00000121920.1)". Lineage: Eukaryota; Metazoa; Chordata; Actinopteri; Salmoniformes; Salmonidae. The record is from RNAcentral.
GGAUUCAUCUGCGCUCAAUAAGUUCCCCACUCUGCAGUGUGUAAUACAGCACUCUCACAUCAGUCAUCUCUGAGCUGUCAAAACAAUCUGAUCUGCUUGGAGGACUGCUCGGCAGACGUCGGAUCACUUACACAGUUUUUCCAUGGGGAGUACACCGUGGAGGUGGCCAUCAACGACUACCUGGACAUCUACUGCCCCCACUACGAGGACCCGCUCCCCCUAGAGCGCAUGGAGCGCUACAUCCUCUUCAUGGUCAACUACGACGGCUACACCACCUGCGACCACCGCAUGAAGGGCUUCAAGCGCUGGGAGUGCAACCGGCCCCAGAGCCCCAACGGACCGCUCAAGUUCUCCGAGAAGUUCCAGCUCUUCACUCCCUUCUCACUGGGGUUUGAGUUCCGGCCGGGUCACGAGUACUACUACAUCUCGUCUCCACACCCUAACCUUGUUGGGAAACCCUGCUUGAAGUUGAAAGUCUAUGUCAAGCCCACAAAUGACUCAGUGUAUGAGUCCCCAGAGCCCUUCCUGACAGACGACAGCACCGGUGGCUGUUGGGUGGCCGCCCCCUGCCUCUCCCUCAUGCUGGCCAUGCUGCUCACGCUUCUCCUGUCCUCAUCAUAGCAUCUUGGGCCCGCCGGCCGUACCCCCUUUGGAACAGCCCCUACCCGACUUCCCGUCAAAUCUUCCGCCUCUGCCCCGCGCGAGGAGACAUGCCUCCUCCACACCCCAUCUCCCCACGCCUGUCCUCUCCUCCUCCCAUAUCAGUCCACUCCCCUCCACCCUCAACCCCUCGACAUGCACCAUCUGGACACUGUAAACUCAUACUGCCCCUCCCUCCCUCAGAACCCUCCAACUCCUCAGCGUAACCCUUGCUUCAUGACCUCUGGCUUCUGACCCUCGGCCUACAGCUCAAGUCCAGGUGGCAAUAAAGUGGAGUAGUCCUGGGGACCAGGAAGGAGUAGUGGAAAGACAAGAAGGAGUCCCUUAAAGACAGGAAGGAGUUCCUUAAAGUCUUUACAAAAACAGCCUCCCAGCUGCAGAGGAGCGCUGGGAUGUGCAAGAAAUGGAUGGGGUUUUGAACCGAACUGAGAACAAACUCCCCUCCUACGUGUCUGGAUGGUCGACAGUGACGUCAUCUCCACUUAAGGACCCUCUCAUUUGCAUCUUCAUCUUCGGACUGUUUGCGUUUCUCUUUGAGGCUUUGUGCUUUGAUUAUGCUCAAUAGUGUCCCACUUGUACAUGUUCAUUCUGUUACAGUGUAUUAUACAGUAGUAUAUUACUUUGUCACGUUGGCUCCUGCGGUGAUAGAUCAUAGGUGAACCUUCUCUUUAUCUCUCUCUCUCUCUUCUUGUGUGUCUCUGACCAGUCUCUCUCUCUCUCUCUCUCUCUCUCUCUCUCUCUCUCUCUCUCUCUCUCUCUCUCUCUCUCUCUCUUCUUGUGUGUCUCUGACCAGUCUUUCCCUCUCUCUCUUCUUGUGUCUCUGACCAGUCUCUCUCUCUCUCUCUCUCUCUCUCUCUCUCUCUCUUCUUGUGUGUCUCUGACCAGUCUCUCUCUCUCUCUCUCUCUCUCUCUCUCUCUCUCUCUCUCUCUCUCUCUCUCUCUUCUUGUGUGUCUCUGACCAGUCUCUAACAUCUUUGCAAUUUCUAGCAGUAGCGUCCCAGAGUAGAUGAGGACCUUUUCUGUAAAUCUGCCAAAGACACUUGUUUAACUUUUAUACCGGGAGAACAGGGGGGUGGGACGGCGCUGUCGUGGCUCUCCAACAAGGUCGUAAGCAGCCAUAGACCUCUGUGUAGACCCUCUAAAACAUGCCAUGGGGGUCCCAUCACAGGCAGGGCAGUGUAGAUUUUUUAAAAAGAGGAUCUUUUUGUCAUACAAAAAAAAAAGUUAUGUAAAAACAAACAAAUGAACCGUUUAAAAAAUUGCCUUUUUUCCACUGGUGCUGAAUUCAAAAUGAGUCUCUUCAUCUCAUGCUGCGGUGCUCUCUUUCUCACUACCCCCUCUUCUCUCUCUCUCUCUCUCUCUCUCUCUCUCUCUCUCUCUCUCUCUACCCCCUCUAUCUCUACCCCCUCUUCUCUCUCUCUCUACCCCCCUCUCUCUCUACCCCUCUUCUUUCUCUCUCUCUCUAUACCCCUCUUCUCUCUCUUUCUCUCUCUACCCCUCCUCUCUCUUUCUCUCUCUACCCAUCUCUCUCUCUCUACCCCUCUUCUCUCUCUCUCUAUCCCUCUUCUCUCUCUUUCUCUCUCUCUACCCCUCUCUCUCUACCCCUCUUCUCUCACACUCUCUCUCUCUACCCCUCUCUCUCUACCCCACUUCUCUUUCUCUCUCUCUACCCCUCAUCUCUCUCUUUACUGCUCUUCUCUCUCUACCCCUCUUCUCUUUCUCUCCCUCUCUCUCUCUCUCUCUCUCUCUCUACCCCUCAUCUCUCUCCCUCUCUUUCUCUCAUUCUCUCUACCCCCUUCUAUCUUACUCUCUCUCAUUCGCUCUACACUCUCUCUCUGUCUCAUUCUCUGCCCCCUCUCUCUCUCUUUCUCUCUCAUGCUCUGAAUGUGAGCUUUUCACCGUGUGACGUUUUCGCUGUACGACACAUGCCCAUUUCUAUGUCAGGUCCUCUUGUCUGAGUCCCAGUACUGAGGCUGGUGACCGCUGGGUCAUUGUGGAGACUGAGGGCCUGUCAUCUCGAGGGGAAUGGACAAUGUGACAUCCCCAUGUAUUGUGCAACACUAAGGGAGCCAGACCUCCAUGUACACUUAAAGGUGACGGAAAGGGAGCCAGACCUCCAUGUACACUUAAAGGUGACGGAAAGGGAGCCAGACCUCCAUGUACACUUAAAGGUGACGGAAAGGGAGCCAGACCUCCAUG